GACGAACGCUGGCGGCGUGCCUAAUACAUGCAAGUCGAGCGAAGCGGCGGAUUGGUGAGCAACGCGUGGGUAACCUGCCCAUAAGUCUGGGAUACUAUUUGGAAACAGAUGCUAAUACCGGAUAAUAAAGGAGUGACUUGGGAUGCAUUAGCUAGUUGGUAAGGUAACGGCUUACCAAGGCGAUGAUGCAUAGCCGAGUUGAGAGGAUGAUCGGCCACAUUGGGACUGAGACACGGCCCAGACUCCUACGGGAGGCAGCAGUAGGGAAUCUUGCACAAUGGGCGAAAGUCUGAUGGAGCAACGCCGCGUGAAUGAAGAAGGUUUUCGGAUCGUAAAGCUCUGUUGUUGGUGAAGCGGUAAUCAACCAGAAAGUCACGGCUAACUACGUGCCAGCAGCCGCGGUAAUUC
RNAcentral lists this ribosomal RNA (408 nucleotides) under uncultured bacterium. RNAcentral describes it as "partial 16S ribosomal RNA". It matches the Rfam family "Bacterial small subunit ribosomal RNA", at positions 28 to 526 of the family's 1533-position model. The record is from RNAcentral.